UCCCGCUCAAUAUGUAAUCCCCUACCCUAAUUUCUAGAUCUGCCUCUCCAACAAUCCAAGCCGACUCUCUUUUUCUCUGCAUUUCGAAUGCUUCUUCAGAUCAAACUCUCUCUCUACAAUGCCAUGGGCUUUAUAGAGGAUCCGACUUUUCUUCAUCAAAGGUGGUGGGUCUUCUGGAACCAUAUCAAAGAAGAAAGAUUGGCCUUUUGGUGGUGCUGGUAUUGGAAAAAUUCUCUUUAUCAUGGAGUUUAUUAACAUUUUUGCCGAGGCUCAUGGCAAGUAGAUUUUAGUAUUUGCCUUCAGAUUUUAGUAUUUCAUUAAUACAUUUCAGCACUCUCUAAACUGCUUGACUUUUCUUAUAUAGUAUUUUUUAUUUUCUUUUACAA
Long non-coding RNA from Helianthus annuus (common sunflower), 386 nucleotides. RefSeq lists it as uncharacterized. NCBI's taxonomy places the organism in Eukaryota, Viridiplantae, Streptophyta, Magnoliopsida, Asterales, Asteraceae. The record is from RefSeq and is a predicted model, not a curated record. The transcript is spliced from 2 exons.